GCCACUGUUCCCCACUCCUAACCCUAUCCGAUCCAGAGGGAGGCACUGAAGCGAUGGGAAGCUCCACCGCCGCCACUCACGCACUCUCUGCCAUCACCGCCGUAGCCAUCCACCAUGGCCAACGGCGGGAACUCCUCGGGCCAAGAAAAAGGUGAAAAAAAAUGAAAUACCAAAUUUGGUACUCAUGCCUGUUUUAUGGAUCAUGGUGCGACUUUUUUUGCGUGUGAAUUAAUGUUUGAUCGCGACUGCUGAGUGUAUCAUGCCGUUAAGUUUUGUUCAGAUGCUCAGUUAUCCAUAGCGUAGCACCGUUUGCAUCGGAGAAUCUUCUUGAUUUUUCCUUUUCUCUUGGGGAACUCGUUGUUAUUGUUCUUGCAAAUUGUUUACUGUCAGUGGAUGCUAAACCUCAA
This is a long non-coding RNA of Triticum aestivum (bread wheat), 407 nucleotides long. RefSeq lists it as uncharacterized. The transcript has 2 exons. The record is from RefSeq and is a predicted model, not a curated record. NCBI's taxonomy places the organism in Eukaryota, Viridiplantae, Streptophyta, Magnoliopsida, Poales, Poaceae.